Molecule: long non-coding RNA, 1259 nt
Organism: Macadamia integrifolia
Lineage: Eukaryota; Viridiplantae; Streptophyta; Magnoliopsida; Proteales; Proteaceae
Exons: 2
Source: RefSeq, a predicted model, not a curated record
GGGCUAUUCAAUAAAGUGAUUGUCAACUAAAUUAACAACACAAAUUUAUGGGAAAAGGACAAGCAUGCUAACAGGUCACCUAGGAAUUAGGUAUGUUAGCAUCUACAAACCGUUAGAUGCAAUAAAAAAGAUCUCAUCCGUUCAUAAAUAUUACCUUACAUAACCUUCCCAAUACCGCCACUCUACAACCCAUUUUUCUACCUUUCUCCGGCUCCCCCUUUGUUCCACAAAUUCGUCAAUCUCCAUUGCCGUCUCUCUUGUCCUACAUGCCCCCGCCUGCCGUGCAAUUGAGAGGGAUUUCACACCCGUCUGAGAAUCCAAAAGGAAGAGAUUACUUUUUCUGCAAUCUUUCCAAAUCCAACCAUGGAAUUAUAGAUUAGAAGCAGAUGAGUUCAGCGUCUGCAACUCUUAGUUUUUGUUAAUGGCAACCAUAAUUAACCUGAUUAUAUUUCUUGUUUCUUAUUUUAAAUUUGUAAUUGUAUCUCUCUUUGAAUCAAACUCACAGAAAGCAUGAGAUUGAGAAAAGAAAAUGCAGAGAUCACAAACACCUAUGGGCCUUCCUCUGUUCUUUUUUCUCAUCUUCUUCCUCUCAUCCUUGAAUGUCUCUUGCGCCGGAAAAACUGCCCAGAAUUCCAUCUAAGAAGACAAUCCCGUUCUUGGAUCUAAAAUCCAUACCUUAUUCCACUUCUUGCUUUCCCUUCGGUUCUUCCCAUAGUUUUUUCCGUCAUCGUCUCUUUCUUUGAUAAAUGAAAUUUCCAUCUUAGUUUAUCAUGAAGCAAAGCCUCAUGGAGUCUCACUCGAAUCAUGCAGAGGAAGUCUGAAUUUUCAGAAGAAGGGUUUGGUGAAGAAGCUUUUUGUUAAAAUUUUGCAUUUGUAUUUAUGUCUCAAAACUAUUGCAUUCCCAGUUCAUUCUUCUUUUUUUUUUUUUCUUUUUAUCUUGAUAUUUUGAACAUUUUCAUGAACCCAUUUAUUGUUUCUGUGGUUUGCUGGUAUAAAGAAAUUGGAGAAGACAAUCCAUUCACAGCUAAAACUUCUUUGAUCUGCUACCAGAACAAGAAGAUCAGCAACAACUUAUCCAAAUCAUCGCUACUUCUCUCCAAGGCGUCUCCUUUGAACGCCGUGGAGUCAUCCUACCUCACUAAAUUUACCAGCAUUGAGGAGUUGCAGAGUUUUCCAGCCGUAUCUACCAAGCCCAAGAAGAAGAAGAUGUAGAUAAGAUGUAGCAGUUGUAGAGUGAAAGUUUAAAUCUUUUACCUUCA